This is an RNA transcript of Fundulus heteroclitus (mummichog), 5765 nucleotides long. RefSeq lists it as uncharacterized. The record is from RefSeq and is a predicted model, not a curated record. The transcript is spliced from 6 exons. Lineage: Eukaryota; Metazoa; Chordata; Actinopteri; Cyprinodontiformes; Fundulidae.
UAUUUAUCAAUUGCAUUUUACUCAUAUUUUUAUAAAUAAUAUCAGCUCAAAAUCACUGAGUAGAAUUUGAUAAUAUUUUAUCAGUAAAGUCAACAAUGUCGAAAAAUUAAUAAAUUCUACUCAAUGGGAAUUCUGUAGUUUUAAACACCGUACACUUCCGCCGAAGGCAUUUGCGCCACACGGACGUCGAUGUCUGCCACAACCGCCAUCAACUGACAUCUGCUCAAGGUGUAUAAAGAAUCUAUCAACACUUAAAGACCGCAGGUAUGUAUUGCACUUACUAAAUACAUGCUGUUAUACUACACUACAGAACAAUUUAACAUACAGCAUAUUGUGUAAAGGUUCAUUCACUGUUUUGCAACACAAUGUUGAUAACUUCUAUAAAAAAUCAUCUUUUUAUCAACUUUUGCUGGUUAAGCAAAUUUAAUACAGUUUAACCUGAAGUUCCAACUUGAAUUUCAAAUGAAAGCAGCAUAAAAUAUAGAGAAUAUUUUUCAUAGAUAUGCAGUAUAUCUAUAAUACCAUAUACCCAUAUAUUUAUUAGCACUAUUAUUGAAGUAGGUUACUCUUUAUACAGUUAUACUGUAUACAAGUUAAUAUAGUACCUUUAUUUUCUUAUUACUUUAGGUUUUUGCCGAUGGGAUGGCAGUGUAAGAUCUGCAGGUCUUUGUCUGCUACAAAAGGGAACCUACUAAAGCAUUACAGAUUAGAGCACGCAACAUUUGGUCGCGGGCAAUCUCAGCCAUGUCUCUAUGGUAGUUGCCCUUGCACAUUCAAAACGCAGAGUGCGCUUCGCACACAUUUGUCCAGGUACCAUGCCGCUAAGGAAAGUCUACAGCCAAAUAUCUCCACUUUCAAGUGUUUAGUUUGUGAUGCUAGUUGUUCUACUGAGAAGGACUUCUUUCAGCAUAUUGGAAAUCAUCUGAAAGGCCAUGAAACUGUCUUUUGUGUAUUUGAAGGGUGCAGUUUUCGGACAAAUAUUUACAAUACAUUUCUAAAACACAAAAGCAGAAGACACCAACCCUAUUCUUUGAGUGAUUUUAAGCAAGCUGUGUAUGAAAGACACUAUAAUCAGACGGCUGACCUCUCUGAUUUACCAGAGGCCAGUGCUGAUGAGGGAACUAUUCUAGAUGGUGAUCCCGAAUGUGCAUCAUACCUAGUUCUGAAAAGAAUUGCCUUGCUUCUGCUGAAGCUAGAAAGUAUAUGCAAUGCAUCUGUGAGGUGCAUUGAUGUCUUGGUUGAAGACCUCCACUUCAUUUCAUCUUCAGCAUCUGUUGCCGUUGUUAGAAAUACACUUGAAUCAACAUUGAGAUUAAAUGAAUGCACUGUAGACCAGGCAUUCAUAUGUGACUUGGCAGAACAACUGUGUAACUUCCAUCCCAUUAGUACAGCACUAGGGGCAAGUGGUCCUCUUAGUACAGCUUUUAAGCGAAGAAGGUAUUUUAAAGAGCAUUUCCAGUGUGUUGACCCUGUUGAAUAUAUUCUUGAUUUUCAAAAGAACAAGACCUUUCAGUAUGUGCCCAUUCUCAAAACUCUGCAGGAAAUCGUAAAGAAUAAAGACGUUGCAGACGGAAUUAUAUCCAGGUGUUCAAACAGCACUGGAUAUAUUAAGUCAAUUUUUGAUGGCAAAUUUUACAGGCAAAAUGAUUUUUAUGCUGGAGAAGAAAUACGACUCUCAAUAAUCCUUUAUGUAGAUGAUUUUGAGGUGUGUAACCCUCUAGGGACCUCUAAGGAAAAAAACAUAAAAUUACAGCCAUUUAUUGGAUUUUGGCAAAUUUGCCAAUUGAAUUGCAAUCUGAAUUAACGUCAAUACACCUAGCUUUACUUUGCAAAGCAGUUGAUGUCAAACAGUUUGAAUACAAAGUAGUUUUGGAACCACUCUUAAAAGAUCUUGUCACUCUAGAAAAAGAAGGAGUUUUCAUUCCCAGUGCUGGAAAAAGUAUUAAAGGGACAGUACACUGUGUUGCAGCUGAUAAUCUCGGGGCACAUUCGAUCAGUGGACUAGUUGAAAAUUUCACAGGGCCAUACACGUGUCGGUUUUGUCUUGGACAUUCUUCCAAGUACCAGACACAUGAAGUACGAGGUGGAGCAUUUCCACCCCAUACAAAGGAGGACCAUAGUUUGCAUGUACAAACUGUUAAAGAAAAUCCCAGUUUAACACAUUUCUUUGGUGUAAAGCGGUCGUGUCCAUUGACCGACAAAUUGACUCACUUUCACUUUGUCUCUGGAUACCCACCAGAUGUACUUCAUGAUGUUUUUGAAGGGAUUGUUCCAAGGGAACUAGCAUUGUGUAUUCAGGUUUUCACUAGAAAGAAAUACUUUAAUUUAACUCAACUUAACGAGUUAAUUAAAUGUUUCCCCUAUAAGGGCUCAGACAAAACCAAUAGCCCUCAGGAAAUCCCUCAAAAUUACACAACUCGCAAAUCUAUAGGGGGAAAUGCUCAUGAAAACUGGGCCCUGAUACGUUUGUUGCCACUCAUUGUUGGUUCACUGAUACCUGAGGGUGAUUGUGCUUGGCAGGUUCUUCUGACUUUAAAAGACAUAGUUGAACUGGUGGUUGCUCCUGUUCAUACACUUGAAACUAUUGCAUACCUUGACUUUAAAAUAUCUGAACAUCGUGACAGACUUUUGGCAGUUUUUCCAGAAGAGACACUGACACCAAAACACCAUUUUUUGGAGCACUACCCCACAUUGAUUGAAGAAUAUGGACCUCUGGUUGGUGUGUGGACAAUGCGCUUCGAAGCAAAACACAGCUUUUUUAAGAAGGUUGCGAGGCACACUAACAAUUUCAGGAAUGUCUUGUUGACCCUUUCGACACGACACCAGAUGAUGAUGGCAUAUCACCUGCAAACAGAUGGUGGAAAGCAGGCACUGUGUGUUACUAAAAUAUCUGAGGUGCCUUUAAAUGUGCUGCAUCCAGACAUACAGGGACUCUUAAGAGAAACAUCACCACUUCUGUCUGUUGUGCUGUUAGCCAAGACUGUCACCUGUUAUGGAACAAGGUACAAUGUUGGGAUGAUCCUGUCCUAUGGCUCUACAGGCGGACUUCCUGAUUUUGCUGAGAUUAUUCAGAUUGCUAUUUUGGACUACUGUGUACACUUCAUUGUAAAGUUACUUGCUGCCUGGUAUGAAGAGCAUCUAAGGUCUUUUCAGUUGGAGGACACUGGGAAAAUGGCACUUUGGGAGCAGCAGAAACUUGGUGAUGUCUACCCCUUGGCUGCGUACAGUGUAGGAGGAAGAUGCUUGGUUACACUCAAACGUCACAUCUGUUGUUCAUUUUAGGCCGGAGAGAUGGAGGAAAAAUUGUGAGUAAUCAUUGAUGACCGAAUUGAGAAGUUGGUCCUUCCAUCAGGAAUCCCACCGACUGUGGAGGAGCUGCAAACUAUUGUGAAAGGGAACUUUGGAAUUUCUGAGGAGUUCAGUCUUCAGUAUUUGGACUCGGAAUUUGAAGAUUACUUCACACUGCAUAAAACUGACCAAAUUAAACACAAAGAUACUGUAAAGGUUGUCUAUGCUGCCCCGAUUAUCUUGCAAUUGCAGCAAGUUGAUGGAAGUUUGGACAUUUCUUUUGGUCAACAGUCAACAGACUGUGACUCCGUAUCUUAUGCAGAGUCAUCUGCAUCAAAUACAGAGUCAUCUGCAUCAAAUACAGAGUCUUCUGCUGGAACAUCUUCUUCAACGGACACCAUUAUCCUGCCUAGACGGAGAAGCACCACUGAACGAUGUCAGCCAUGGCCAAAGCAGUUUCCCAUUCCGCAGUUUGCAUAUGAGACUGAGAUGUGCCUUGAAAGAGCCGAGGAAGAUCACAGAAAGAAUGGAACACUUCUGACUACCUCAAAGGUCAAAGCAGACAUAUUGGAGAAGCUGGCUGAAACUAUAUAUAUGUAUACAGCUUAUCCAUCAAGUGCACAGAUAUGUGAUGUUGCUGAGGCACUUGUCAAGAAAUAUCCUUGUCUGAAGGAACCUGGCUCCUUCUCAGGCUACUAUGGCUGGCAACAAAGCCUGAAAUACAAGAUGGCAAAUUAUCGCACCAAACUCAGAGGCUACGGUGUUCCUGAGGUGAUGUGCAAUGCCUUCAAACGCAAGAGCCCAGGAGACCAAAAAUCUGCAAAGAAUGUGAAAAAGCCUCGAAAGGCAGAAGUAAACUACCUCCCACCUUAUCCAGCAGGAGAGGAUGAGGAAAGUCAAGAACAAGAAAGGAUUCAGUUGCUAACUGAAGUAAGGAAAAGAGACAACAACAAAUUGAUCAAAGAAAAGAUGGCUAAAACUUUUGCACACCGAAGAAAUGAAAUCGUUAACCAAUCACCUGCCAUAGAGGACAUCAAAGCCAGAUGGCCAGCUCUAUUUGAGGCAUCUAAUAUCCAGGAUGAGUUUCACAGAAUUACAACGGUGCACCUGGAAUCGAAGUUCAUGUCCAAGCUGGAUGAAUAUUCUCCCAGGCUUCUGAACCUGUUCCACUCAAAGGGUGGGACCAUGGGAUUAAGGUUGCAGACUAUCCUACUGAAGGCUCCUAGCAAUCCUAACAUCAACAUAACCAGAGACAUUGUCAUCCGGUGUCUGAUGUUGUACCUUGGGGAAUCUGCCGAUCAGCUCUUUAAAGAGUAUGAUGAUGCAGAUGCAGACAGUGUGGCACAGGACCUUGCUGUACAAAGGAUGAAAAUUUACAGCAUCCAGACUAAUCUGUCAGAGGGUACAGAGGACAUCGGAAUCGUGAUAGAUGGUACAAAGGUCCUGACCGCUCUGGGUAACUUUCCAAGAGCUUGUGCCAUGCUUGUUGGUGUGACGUAUGCAGUGAAUCUUUCCUAUCCCAAGGAGCUCAGGUACACUUUCGAAGCCUUUCAGAAACUCUUCCUGGAGCUGGACUGUUCAAAGCUUUCUCCAAAAGUGAACAGCCUCAAGAGCAAGCUACUGGCUUAAGAAAGGGAGCCUAAAUACACUGGUGUGCUCAGUUAUUUUGUGCUGCGUUUAAGUGUUCAAGUUUUGUUAAAAAAUAAUGUUAUCCAUACUCAUCUGAAGGGUGUGAUGUUUUUUGUAGCUUGGUAUUCCAGAAGAAACAAGUAAAUGAUAAUCUGCACUAUAACCAGGACAGUGACAGUUGUGUCUUGAAAACACAGAGUUUCUUGAUGGACUAUGAACACUUUGCCACCAGUUUAGGACAUGGAUGCCAGUGACACAGUCCACUUACUCAGAGGCAAAUCCAGACACUCCUCUUGUUUUUCGUGAUUCUUCUGGUUGUUCUUGCAACAGCAAUCCACAGCUAUAUUAUGAAGAUGGACAAUAAUCUGCUGGGUCUUUACCCGUUUUGUGCCACUGGUAAUUGUGAGCACAAGCUGUAGUGAUCUGACACUGAUCUGAGGAGCCUACCUGUGCAAUUGGCCUGCCCCAAAUAGCAAGUGCCUUUGUUAAAUAUAUUUUUUCAUACUCAUUUGAGGGGCUUGCUGUUGUAAUUCUGUGAUGUACACCAGGAUUUCUUUGUAUUUUGGCAUUUUACAUGAAAAAUGUUCAGAAUAUAUGUGUAAACGAAGUUGCACAAAUAAAUGUUUAACUGCUGUUGUUCUAAGUAUGGUAAUUUGUUAACUGCCCUUCUGUGAAUUCUUGCAAAAAGAACGCAUUAUAUUGAGUAGGUUCUACAUAAAAAAAAUAUGGCAACAAAGUGACAAUCAAUAACAUUAAAUAGAUUUUAAGUCAUGUGGUACCAAUUAUAAGUUAAUUUGAGAAAUUAAUUUAUGUAAAGAUAAAUAACAAUUUAAGUUUAAACAUGUUAA